Molecule: ribosomal RNA, 208 nt
Filed under: uncultured bacterium
Lineage: Bacteria
Description: partial 16S ribosomal RNA
Rfam family: Bacterial small subunit ribosomal RNA
Source: RNAcentral
CAUGUAGGCGGUUUUUUAAGUCUGGAGUGAAAAUGCGGGGCUCAACCCCGUAUGGCUCUGGAUACUGGAAGACUUGAGUGCAGGAGAGGAAAGGGGAAUUCCCAGUGUAGCGGUGAAAUGCGUAGAUAUUGGGAGGAACACCAGUGGCGAAGGCGCCUUUCUGGACUGUGUCUGACGCUGAGAUGCGAAAGCCAGGGUAAGCGAACGG